Molecule: ribosomal RNA, 229 nt
Filed under: uncultured cyanobacterium
Lineage: Bacteria; Bacillati; Cyanobacteriota
Description: partial 16S ribosomal RNA
Rfam family: Bacterial small subunit ribosomal RNA
Source: RNAcentral
GGGAAUUUUCCGCAAUGGGCGAAAGCCUGACGGAGCAAUACCGCGUGAGGGAGGAAGGCUCUUGGGUUGUAAACCUCUUUUCUCAAGGAAGAAGCUCUGACGGUACUUGAGGAAUCAGCAUCGGCUAACUCCGUGCCAGCAGCCGCGGUAAUACGGAGGAUGCAAGCGUUAUCCGGAAUGAUUGGGCGUAAAGCGUCCGCAGGUGGUGGUGCGUGUCUAUUGUCAAAGC